Molecule: ribosomal RNA, 503 nt
Filed under: uncultured bacterium
Lineage: Bacteria
Description: bacterial SSU rRNA
Rfam family: Bacterial small subunit ribosomal RNA
Source: RNAcentral
GACGAACGCUGACGGUGUGCUUUAGACAUGCAAGUCGAACGAGAAAGCCCUUCGGGGUGAGUACAGUGGCGAACGGGUGAGUAACACGUGGGCAAUCUGCCCCUCGCAGGGGGACAACCGGGGGAAACCCCGGCUAAUACCCCGUACGCUUACGGAGCCGCAUGGCUCCAUAAGGAGAGGUAGCUUCGGCCAUCCGGCGAGGGAUGAGCCCGCGGUACAUUAGCUAGUUGGGGAGGUAACGGCUCACCAAGGCGACGAAGUAUAGCUGGUCUGAGAGGUAGAGCAGCCACACUGGGACUGAGACACGGCCCAGACUCCUACGGGAGGCAGCAGUCGGGAAUCUUGCGCGAUGGGCGAAAGCCUGACGCAGCAACACCGUGUGAGCGACGAAGGCCUUCGGGUCGUAAAGCUCUGUUGUUGGGGACGAAGGGUUAGGGGUUAAUAGCCCCGAGCCUGACGGUACCCUUCGAGGAAGCCCCGGCUAACUACGUGCCAGCAGCCGC